UCUUCAUUUUUUAGACAGCCUGAGCUUAACAGCAAUCUGCAUUCUGAAGUCGUUCCAGACUCAAUGUUCUUCCUCUUCUCAACUGUCCCGAACACCAAAGCACCUGAAUGUUAAAAUGGUAUUGUUGGCUUUCCUCAAAUUCUGUUCAAUAAUCGUUGUGGCCAGUCCAGGUCUAGGUUUGCAAAGGUUGAUGCCAUGUUUUGUUAAACUCCUGAGCGUGAAAACCUAGAUCAAGCUGACAUUGAAGCCAACAGCAUCCCUCAGGAGUUUCCAUCAAAGAUGUAUGGCGAAGGCCAUGCAACUGGCUCAAAUGUCAGGCAAGAAAUUGCCAACUUGAAAUCCUGGAUGGGGCAGACUUCCAUUCUCAAGAUUGCCAGCACAAAAGAAAAAGAAGAGAGAAAAGCCAAAGUACGAACAGCAGUCUUUUAAAUGCUGAGGACCUGGAAAGGCCUGCUGUGUCACAUUAUAUUUGUGGAUUUCAAACUGCAAUAUGCAGAUGUAUGCACAUGAAUAAUUUUGAGCACAGAAGCUUUAAUCCCCUUGUACAAAAUAGAAGCAGUCAAAUGUGUAAAGUUACAACGUGUUCACGGUUUGGUGACUGAAGCUUAAGACCAAGUUCUGGGACACUGACCUUGUUUUCAAACAUCUUAAGUUUUUAGCAUAUGUGCAUGAGAAAAUAACUCUUCUGGUUUCAUGCUCUCUGUUUGCCUUCUUCCACAGACAUCUGGGAAAUCUGACUUUUUAUAUACUAGAUUAUUUUAAUACUAGAGAGCAAGAUAUGAAUUACCGUUUUUUAACUCUGUAGAUUUUUCUACUCUAAUUAUACAGUUGAUAUUCUUUGUGACAAUAUGCCUGCACUUUGUGGACUUUAAAUGAAAGAUAGAUAGAGAAGGUACACAGCUCAGAAGUAGUUGAUUUCAAUCUUCAAUGCAUUCACUAAAUAAUUCAGGAUCUCUAAUGGGAAUCUGAUCUUACCACAGGAGUGGGGAUGAGGUGCACUCAGUUGCCAGGGUCUGCAGCAAAAUGGCUAGGGAACAACAAUGGAGCAAAAGGUGAAAAAAAUCUGUAAACUACCGUUGAAUUCUCUUUGCUUUUCUAGAAUCACAUUGCAUCUUCCUGGAGCUGCUGUUGCUGAUGGUUAGGGAGGGCAAGCGAAAGAAAUUGGUAUUUAUAAUGUAUCUGAAACAAACAAGCAGGCUCAGCUCAAGGUGACCUCUUAAAUGGUGUA
Neopsephotus bourkii (Bourke's parrot) is the source of this 1228-nucleotide long non-coding RNA. RefSeq lists it as uncharacterized. The record is from RefSeq and is a predicted model, not a curated record. The transcript has 3 exons. Lineage: Eukaryota; Metazoa; Chordata; Aves; Psittaciformes; Psittacidae.